CGAAAUGCGAUAAGUAAUGUGAAUUGCAGAAUUCAGUGAAUCAUCGAAUCUUUGAACGCACAUUGCGCCCUUUGGCAUUCCGAAGGGCAUGCCUGUUCGAGCGUCAUUACACCAAUCAAGCCUGGCUUGGUAUUGGGCGACGGGGCCGCCAGCCGGCGGCACCCGCGCCUUAAUGACCUUUCCGGCGGGACGGACCGUAUCUCAGCGUUGUGGUAAAAAAGCCGCUGGCGAGACGGGACGGCCGUGCCGUUAAACCCACCAAUUUUCUUAAGGUUGACCUCGGAUCAGGUAGGGAUACCCGCUGAACUUAAGC
This 313-nucleotide unclassified non-coding RNA is filed under the name plant metagenome. Its description in RNAcentral is "partial contains 5.8S ribosomal RNA, internal transcribed spacer 2, and large subunit ribosomal RNA". The stretch from base 1 to 106 matches the Rfam family "5.8S ribosomal RNA", at positions 49 to 154 of the family's 154-position model. The record is from RNAcentral.